Triticum dicoccoides is the source of this 1132-nucleotide long non-coding RNA. RefSeq lists it as uncharacterized. The record is from RefSeq and is a predicted model, not a curated record. NCBI's taxonomy places the organism in Eukaryota, Viridiplantae, Streptophyta, Magnoliopsida, Poales, Poaceae. The transcript has 3 exons.
AAAUUAUAAGCCAGUCAGUGGUUCGUUUUUAAAUCAAGUGGGGAGGAAAUACAGUAGACGGCGGGGGCAUACGGGUUGCCGGUCACAGCGCGCGCAGAUGCCGCUGUGACGGAAGGAGAGCAGAGCCGUGGCUCGGGACUGUCAUAUUUUCCUGAUCCGUAGCUCAGGAAAUCAGUUUUCCAUUAGCCGGCGGUGCCCCGGGCUAGUAAAUGAGGAAUGGAUCCGAGGCGGAGUUGUCUCCUACCUCUUGCUACGCCUGUUGGAUCUCCAUUGACGACUGCGGCCUGCUGAGCAGUAGCGGGUGGCGCUAGUUGGGAUGGAGUUCUUGAUGAAGCCCAUUAGAAGGACGGCUGUGGUGGAGGAGGUGAACGACAACGAGCUUCCAACUGAGCCGCCACACUACCCCGCCGUCGCGGUAUCAAUUGAAGAGCUACCCCCAUGGCAAUAGCUAGCGCAGAGGGACAGAUUUGUGCAGCGGUUGGGGAAGGAGCGGCCGGGGUGUAUGUUGAACCGCCAGCAGAGCAGUCAAUUGAUCAGAUUGACCGAGAAACUCCAGGCUAGACUCGAAGGGUGAGAAUUGGAGCUGCUGCUCCAGGAUGGACGACCUGCCCUAGGCAGCCCAGCGCCCUUGAGAAAGCAAUUCGUGGAUUCGUUGACAAACCGGGUGAAAAUGUAAUCGUGCUUGCCCUGGGUACAGGCUUUGAUACACUCGGCGAGACGUACAAUUUUUACAAUCUCUACUCUUGGGAGAAGGGUUCAUGUCUCAUAAAGAAUUGCAUGAUAGAGAUGCAGCCUUUUGCUGAAGUUAAGGAUGGGCUAGGAUCGGAGGACAUGAUAGCUGAAAAUGGAGAUGUCAUCAAUCAGCUGCUGGUGCAAACGGCAAUUGCUGCUGCUAGCGGAGAUGCAACUAUUGGGAGCAGGCUUGUUGUAUUGUUGGCACCAAAGAAGCGGAAAGAGAUGGGGCGCCCAACAACUAGCCGGGAGAAAGCACCAUACGAGGGCCUUAGCAAACGGACAAGGUUCUGCGCUAUAUGUCGCCGGCAGGGGCACAAGAGGACAACCUGCCCGGACCGGGGUGACAUUCCAAAGCCUGUCCGCAAACCAGCUAGGUGCAAAGAUCAUGGCAUCGAAG